UUGGUUAAGUUAGAAAGGGCGCACGGUGGAUGCCUUGGCACUAGGAGCCGAAGAAGGACGGGACUAACACCGAUAUGCUUUGGGGAGCUGUACGUAAGCGUUGAUCCAGAGAUUUCCGAAUGGGGGAACCCACUAUCUUUAGUCGGAUAGUAUCCUUACGUGAAUACAUAGCGUGAGGAAGGCAGACCCAGGGAACUGAAACAUCUAAGUACCUGGAGGAAGAGAAAGAAAAAUCGAUUUCCUGAGUAGCGGCGAGCGAAACGGAAAGAGCCCAAACCAAGAAGCUUGCUUCUUGGGGUUGUAGGACACUCUAUACGGAGUUACAAAAGAAAGUUAUAAAUGAAGCGGUCUGGAAAGGCCCGCCAAAGACGGUAACAGCCCGGUAGUUGAAAUGGCUUUCCCUCCAGAGUGGAUCCUGAGUACGGCGGAACACGUGAAAUUCCGUCGGAAUCCGGGAGGACCAUCUCCCAAGGCUAAAUACUCCCUAGUGACCGAUAGUGAACCAGUACCGUGAGGGAAAGGUGAAAAGCACCCCGGAAGGGGAGUGAAACAGUUCCUGAAACCGUGUGCCUACAAGUAGUUAGAGCCCGUUAAUGGGUGAUAGCGUGCCUUUUGUAGAAUGAACCGGCGAGUUACGAUUUGUUGCAAGGUUAAGCGGAAAAAGCGGAGCCGUAGCGAAAGCGAGUCUGAAUAGGGCGCAUAAGUAACAGGUCGUAGACCCGAAACCAGGUGAUCUACCCAUGUCCAGGAUGAAGGUAAGGUAAUACUUACUGGAGGUCCGAACCCACGCACGUUGAAAAGUGCGGGGAUGAGGUGUGGGUAGCGGAGAAAUUCCAAUCGAACUUGGAGAUAGCUGGUUCUCUCCGAAAUAGCUUUAGGGCUAGCCUCGAGGUAAAGAGUCAUGGAGGUAGAGCACUGUUUGGACUAGGGGCCCUUCUCGGGUUACCGAAUUCAGAUAAACUCCGAAUGCCAUGUACUUAUACUCGGGAGUCAGACUGCGAGUGAUAAGAUCCGUAGUCGAAAGGGAAACAGCCCAGACCACCAGUUAAGGUCCCCAAAUAUAUGUUAAGUGGAAAAGGAUGUGGGGUUGCUUAGACAACCAGGAUGUUGGCUUAGAAGCAGCCACCAUUGAAAGAGUGCGUAAUAGCUCACUGGUCGAGUGACCCCGCGCCGAAAAUGUACCGGGGCUAAACAUAUUACCGAAACUGUGGAUGAACCUCUUUAGAGGUUCGUGGUAGGAGAGCGUUCUAAGGGCGGUGAAGUCAGACCGGAAGGACUGGUGGAGCGCUUAGAAGUGAGAAUGCCGGUAUGAGUAGCGAAAGAAGGGUGAGAAUCCCUUCCACCGAAUAUCUAAGGUUUCCUGAGGAAGGCUCGUCCGCUCAGGGUUAGUCGGGACCUAAGCCGAGGCCGAUAGGCGUAGGCGAUGGACAACAGGUAGAGAUUCCUGUACCAGUGCUAAUUGUUUAACCGAUGGGGUGACACAGAAGGAUAGGGAAUCGCACGAAUGGAAAUGUGCGUCCA
RNAcentral lists this ribosomal RNA (1521 nucleotides) under Listeria monocytogenes. Its description in RNAcentral is "partial 23S ribosomal RNA". It matches the Rfam family "Bacterial large subunit ribosomal RNA", at positions 1 to 1514 of the family's 2925-position model. Lineage: Bacteria; Bacillati; Bacillota; Bacilli; Caryophanales; Listeriaceae. The record is from RNAcentral.